CCUACGGGAGGCAGCAGUAAGGAAUAUUGGUCAAUGGGGGCAACCCUGAACCAGCCAUGCCGCGUGCAGGAAGACGCCCUAUGGAUCGUAAACUGCUUUUAUCUGGGAAUAUGUACCAGAGGAAUAAGGAUCGGCUAACUCCGUGCCAGCAGCCGCGGUAAUACGGAGGAUCCAAGCGUUAUCCGGAUUUAUUGGGUUUAAAGGGUGCGUAGGCGGCCUGUUAAGUCAGGGGUGAAAGACGGUAGCUCAACUAUCGCAGUGCCCUUGAUACUGAUGGGCUUGAAUGGACUAGAGGUAGGCGGAAUGAGACAAGUAGCGGUGAAAUGCAUAGAUAUGUCUCAGAACACCGAUUGCGAAGGCAGCUUACUAUGGUUCAUUGACGCUGAGGCACGAAAGCGUGGGGAUCAAACAGGAUUAGAUACCCUUGUAGUC
This 432-nucleotide ribosomal RNA is filed under the name uncultured bacterium. RNAcentral describes it as "partial 16S ribosomal RNA". It matches the Rfam family "Bacterial small subunit ribosomal RNA", at positions 338 to 795 of the family's 1533-position model. The record is from RNAcentral.